AUCAUCGUUURCNGCGUGGACUACCAGGNUAUCUAAUCCUGUUCGCUACCCACGCUUUCGUGCAUCAGCGUCAGUHACGGUCUGGAAAGCUGCCUUCGCAAUUNGUGUUCUGUGUUAUAUCUAUGCAUUUCACCGCUACAUAACACAUUCCGCCUUCCUCGUCCGCACUCAAGUCUCUCAGUUUCAAUGGCACGUUUAUGGUUGAGCCACAAAAUUUCACCACUGACUUAAGAAACCGCCUACGCACCCUUUAAACCCAAUGAAUCCGGAUAACGCUCGCAUCCUCCGUAUUACCGCGGCUGCUGGCACGGAGUUAGCCGAUGCUUAUUCCUAUAGUACAGGCAAACAACUACACGUAGCUGACAUUCUUCCUAUAGAAAAGUAGUUUACAACCCAUAGGGCCGUCUUCCUACACGCGACAUGGCUGGUUCAGGCUUUCGCCCAUUGACCAAUAUUCCUCACUGCUGCCUCCCGUAGGAGUCUGGUCCGUGUCUCAGUACCAGUGUGGGGGACUAUCCUCUCAGAACCCCUAUCCAUCGAUGCCUUGGUAAGCCGUUACCUUACCAACUAACUAAUGGAACGCAUGCC
This 588-nucleotide ribosomal RNA is filed under the name Bacteroidetes bacterium P073B. RNAcentral's name for it is "16S ribosomal RNA". The record is from RNAcentral. Lineage: Bacteria; Pseudomonadati; Bacteroidota.